Molecule: ribosomal RNA, 416 nt
Filed under: uncultured bacterium
Lineage: Bacteria
Description: partial 16S ribosomal RNA
Rfam family: Bacterial small subunit ribosomal RNA
Source: RNAcentral
UGGGGAAUAUUGCACAAUGGGCGCAAGCCUGAUGCAGCCAUGCCGCGUGUGUGAAGAAGGCCUUCGGGUUGUAAAGCACUUUCAGCGAGGAGGAAGGUGGUGGACUUAAUACGUUCAUCAAUUGACGUUACUCGCAGAAGAAGCACCGGCUAACUCCGUGCCAGCAGCCGCGGUAAUACGGAGGGUGCAAGCGUUAAUCGGAAUUACUGGGCGUAAAGCGCACGCAGGCGGUUUGUUAAGUCAGAUGUGAAAUCCCCGGGCUCAACCUGGGAACUGCAUUUGAAACUGGCAAGCUAGAGUCUCGUAGAGGGGGCUAGAAUUCCAGGUGUAGCGGUGAAAUGCGUAGAGAUCUGGAGGAAUACCGGUGGCGAAGGCGGCCCCCUGGACGAAGACUGACGCUCAGGUGCGAAAGGCGU